Molecule: ribosomal RNA, 492 nt
Filed under: uncultured bacterium
Lineage: Bacteria
Description: partial 16S ribosomal RNA
Rfam family: Bacterial small subunit ribosomal RNA
Source: RNAcentral
AGUGAACGCUGGCGGUAGGCCUAACACGUGCAAGUCGAACGGCAGCACAAUAAGAGCUUGCUCUUACGGGUGGCGAGUGGCGGACGGGUGAGGAAUACAUCGGAAUCUACUUUUUCGUGGGGGAUAACGUAGGGAAACUUACGCUAAUACCGCAUACGACCUACGGGUGAAAGCAGGGGAUCUUCGGACCUUGCGCGAUUGAAUGAGCCGAUGUCGGAUUAGCUAGUUGGCGGGGUAAAGGCCCACCAAGGCGACGAUCCGUAGCUGGUCUGAGAGGAUGAUCAGCCACACUGGAACUGAGACACGGUCCAGACUCCUACGGGAGGCAGCAGUGGGGAAUAUUGGACAAUGGGCGCAAGCCUGAUCCAGCCAUACCGCGUGGGUGAAGAAGGCCUUCGGGUUGUAAAGCCCUUUUGUUGGGAAAGAAAAGCAGCAGGUUAAUACCCCGCUGUUCUGACGGUACCCAAAGAAUAAGCACCGGCUAACUUCGUG